RNAcentral lists this transfer RNA (66 nucleotides) under Bathyomphalus contortus. RNAcentral describes it as "tRNA-Asn". The record is from RNAcentral. Lineage: Eukaryota; Metazoa; Mollusca; Gastropoda; Planorbidae.
UAAAUUGGAGCACGAAUUGGUGCAUUUAACUGUUAAUUAAAAGGAUUUCACUUAAGAACAAUUUAA